Molecule: long non-coding RNA, 1046 nt
Organism: Neofelis nebulosa (Clouded leopard)
Lineage: Eukaryota; Metazoa; Chordata; Mammalia; Carnivora; Felidae
Exons: 3
Source: RefSeq, a predicted model, not a curated record
CAUGGCCCAAGAAGGAGGAAAACCAGAAGUCAUUUUUGUCACGACCGUUUACUGACCGUGGUUGGCAGAAGAUCCGUGUCUCAAAGUACAACCAGGGCUUUACAACAUAGACAUGUUAGCAAGAGUUCUUGAUUUUUACAUGAGGAAAGGAAGUGAAAAACAAUAUUUGACCUCUCAGAGGCCCAGUUUACCUACCUAUUGCGAUAAAAGAGAAACAUCUGGGUGUGGCACGGAAGUCCCCAUUUGAAAAUAAACACAGCUUUCGCCGGGGCACCAGACAGCGGUGGACUGUUAGCCCUUAAUACAUUCAUCUUUGCUGUGUUCUUGUUCUAGAAAGACUACUGGGCCUGAUUGCCUUCCCUAAAUCUCUGUUCUUGUCUCUAAAUGAGCUAUUUCUCAGAGCUUGGAAACAGGCUUCGCGUCUGAGAGGCUUGUGUCCCGGAGGGUCUAGGACAAGGACUCUGUCCAGCCAGAGGGGACCCCGGCCCUGGAUCUUGUUCCCAGGCAGGAUUUCCAUCUGAACACAAAAUGACUUCCUCUCUCUAACCAGCCCCCCCCCCCCUGCAUCCCCCCUACGGUUAUUUGUCUGGGGAAUCCAGGCAUCAAAGACUUUGGUAAUAAUUACAUUUCCUUCAAUGGAGACAGGAUCUCACCCUUCCGGACUGAAACCCUCCGAUGGGCGAGCUGGUCUGAGGUCCCUGAUGGCCCUGCCCUCCCCUCCUCACUCCUGCCAGCUGCCACCCACCUCCUUGGGGGCACCUGCCCGCCUGUGUGUCUCCCUCGUUAUCUGUCACAUUGAGUCGAGUGACCCCAUCACACAGCGAGUUCUGAGCCUUCAGAGAACACACUUGUAGCCUCAGAAAAUGCUUUGGCUUACCCAUAAACAAGACACCUCUCUAGAAGGACACAGAAUGUGGACCCUGAGACAGCACUGAAGUGCAAAGCUCUGGAGAUUAAGGCCCCUGGACAUCUUGUGAAAGUCUAAGAACAAACAGCCACCAUGAGGCCAGGAGACACCUAACCGUAUUCAGAAGGGCCAACUGGCC